Molecule: long non-coding RNA, 1053 nt
Organism: Hippocampus comes (tiger tail seahorse)
Lineage: Eukaryota; Metazoa; Chordata; Actinopteri; Syngnathiformes; Syngnathidae
Exons: 4
Source: RefSeq, a predicted model, not a curated record
CUGGAUGACAUUCACCUUGAAAUGUUUGGCAUCCUUUGGCGGGCCUGCUUAUAUUAUGUGAGGGUGCAUCAUGAGUGUUAUGCAAAACUGCCAUUGUGUCAUUUGUCAAGCCAGAAAGAAUAGCCGACGAGGGAUGUCGCACUGCGCGGGCACCUGCAGGGCCACGCUUGUAAGUAAUCAAGACACAAAGCGUGGCGACUCCUUCACUGAUUUGUGUGUCAGCAGGAAGCGGCGUCGAGGGCCACGAGGUGGCCCGCUUGUGAGUAAAUGUCACACGGGGGGCGGCGGGCGACGAGUAGCGGCGUCCCCUCAAGUAGCCCAGCUGCAGCUCUCACCUCUGGGUCAUUAAUUCUCACGCCGAGCUCGUAAUUAGGACUCCUCGCGGUCACCGAGACACAUUCUGCAUCGGGAUACAUUUACCGAGCUGUCAUUCUCAUGACACAGGGCCGGCCGGGCCAGGAUGGAUCAGCCGGCGCCACACGGUAUUGAUGUCACCUCGCCAUGGAGACUCCGCCCCGAGACACACCCUACUAUGUCCAUCCGACCUGAACUUAAAAUCUCAGGCAUCGCCGCUGUUCAUUGUCCUUGAUACGUUCCAGCGGGUGCUAAAUGACACCCAUCCUGUCCAGUAACGCACUCCUUCACGAGACAGCCAUUCGAUUGGAGGGAUGACACGUGGCGUGACCUCACCGAGGAUCAACGGACAGCUAAUAGAUGGAGACGCAAUUCAGCGAGGACGAGACGUUUGCCGCUGCCAAUACGACAAAGGCGGCGUCGGCGGCCGCCCAUCGAUCUCCCGCAGCCCGCGACCGAGACAGCUUCAAAAUUCAGCAAUAAUCGUGACAAACGAGGAGCGGCACCGCGGCCAGAAAAUCAUCAAUAAACGGCGGCGGAGACAAAAUGCCAAGGGCAAACAAAGAGCAAUUGGCAGCUCCCGACCACUUUUAAGACCGCGGCAUGAAUUCCCGUUGAAUUUGGUCCGCUGUGACAGUCGGUGGCAGAAGACUGUUGAAUUCCACUUGAUGAAUGUGAACAUCCACAGCAGGAAAUGGU